Molecule: ribosomal RNA, 497 nt
Filed under: uncultured bacterium
Lineage: Bacteria
Description: partial 16S ribosomal RNA
Rfam family: Bacterial small subunit ribosomal RNA
Source: RNAcentral
GAUGAACGCUGGCGGCGUGCCUAAUACAUGCAAGUCGAGCGAACAGAUGAGGAUCUUGCUCCUCUGACGUUAGCGGCGGACGGGUGAGUAACACGUGGAUAACCUACCUAUAAGACUGGGAUAACUUCGGGAAACCGGAGCUAAUACCGGAUAAUAUAUUGAACCGCAUGGUUCAAUAGUGAAAGACGGUUUUGCUGUCACUUAUAGAUGGAUCCGCGCCGCAUUAGCUAGUUGGUAAGGUAACGGCUUACCAAGGCAACGAUGCUUAGCCGAACUGAGAGGGUGAUAGGCCACACUGGAACUGAGACACGGUCCAGACUCCUACGGGAGGCAGCAGUAGGGAAUAUUCCGCAAUGGGCGAAAGCUUGACGGAGCAACGCCGCGUGAGUGAUGAAGGUCUUCGGAUCGUAAAACUCUGUUAUUAGGGAAGAACAAAUGUGUAAGUAAAUAUGCACGUCUUGACGGUACCUAAUCAGAAAGCAACGGCUAACUACGUG